This 1592-nucleotide ribosomal RNA is filed under the name Methanobacteriota archaeon. RNAcentral's name for it is "partial 23S ribosomal RNA". It matches the Rfam family "Archaeal large subunit ribosomal RNA", at positions 1423 to 2973 of the family's 2987-position model. The record is from RNAcentral. Lineage: Archaea; Methanobacteriati; Methanobacteriota.
CCUCCGCCGGAUGGGCCAGGGUUCCUCGGCACUGAAAAUCAGCCGAGGGUGAGUCGGUCCUAAGCCGUGGGGUAAUGCCCUAACGGCGAAAGGGAAACAGGUUAAUAUUCCUGUACCGUCCCGGUAGGUGCGGCAACGCAAGCCGGACAUCCGACGCCUCGGGGUAGGCCGACAGGGGCCGUCGCCCCUGCUAAGCGGGAUAGGCCUCUGGAGAGCCGUAAUGGCGAGAAGGAGGCCAAACCGCGAAUGGCCCCCGUAAGGGGGUUCGGCUGAACCCUGGGGCCCGUGAAAAGGGUGUCCGGAGCGAUCCGGGACGACCGUACCGAGAACUGAAAAAGGUCCCCUGGCUGAAGAGGCCAAGGCGAUCGGGUAACUCCGGGCAAGGGAAUUCGGCAAACUGGCCCCGUAUCUUCGGUAGAAGGGGUGCCUGCGGUUGUCGGACCGCCGGCGACCGCAGGUGGCACUGACAAGGGGGGUCCGACUGUUUAUUAAAAACACAGGUCCCUGCUAGGGCGUAAGCCUGCGAACAGGGGCCGACGCCUGCUCACUGCCGGUACGUGAAGCCCGGGUUCAACCGGGUUAAGCGCCGGUAAAGAGCGGGCCUAACCCUGAGGCUCUUAAGGUAGCGUAAUACCUCGCCGCUUAAUUGGCGGCUUGCAUGAAGGGCGUAACGAGGCCCCCGCUGUCCCUGCCCGGAACCCGGCGAACCCUUUGGGCCGUGAACAUACGGCCAACGCCCGACGGGAGGUGAAGACCCCGUGGAGCUUUACAGCAGCUUGGCGUUGCGGUCGAGGCCUCCUUGCGAAGCGUAGGCGGGAGGCGUCGAAGCGGCCCUUGCGGGGGCCGUGGAGCCGUCCAUGAGACACCGCCCCUGGAGGCUUCGACCGCUUACCGGGAACGCCCGGGACAGCGCCAGGUGGGCUGUUUGGCUGGGGCGGCACGCCCCCGAAAAGGUAUCGGGGGCGCCCAAAGGUCGGCUCAGGCGGGUCAGAACUCCGCCGUAGAGUGCAAGGGCAGAAGCCGGCUUGACGGUGUCCCGCACAAUAGGGGACGCCGAUGGGAAACCAGGGCCUAGCGAACCACCGGUUCCCACUGGUGGGGGCCGGUGCUGUCAGAGAAGUUACCCCGGGGGUAACAGAGUGGUCGCGGGCGAGAGCCCACAUCGACCCCGCGGUUUGCUGCUCCGAUGUCGGCUCGCGGUAUCCUGGCCGUGCACAAGCGGCCAAGGGUAGGGUUGUACACCCGUUAAAACCGCACGUGAGCUGGGUUGAGUACGGCGCGAGCCAGUAUGGCUACUAUCUGUCGGGCGUGUUGGCCGCCUGAGGGGAAGGACCGCCAAGUACGAAAGGAACGGCGGGACGCGGCCUCUGGUGUACCGGUUGUCCGACAGGGCAUCGCCGGGUAGCCACGCCGUAGGGGAUAACCGCUGAAGGCAUCUAAGCGGGAAGCCCCCCCCGAAUAAUAGGCGGCCGUUCCGGCCUUCCUCCGGGAGGGCCGGACGAGGGCUCCGGAAGAACACCGGGUUGAUAGACGCCGGGUGUAAGCGGGAAGGGCGACCGACCCGUUCAGCCCAGGCGUACUAAUCGCCCGAG